AUAUUGGUCAAUGGGCGAGAGCCUGAACCAGCCAUGCCGCGUGCAGGAAGACGGCCUUCUGGGUUGUAAACUGCUUUUAUACGGGAAGAAAAAGCUCAUGCGUGAGUAACUGACGGUACCGUACGAAUAAGCACCGGCUAACUCCGUGCCAGCAGCCGCGGUAAUACGGAGGGUGCAAGCGUUGUCCGGAUUUACUGGGUUUAAAGGGUACGUAGGCGGCUUGUUAAGUCAGUGGUGAAAUACACGAGCUCAACUGGUGAAGKGCCAUUGAUACUGACAGGCUUGAGUGUUGUAUAGGUAGGCGGAAUUGAUGGUGUAGCGGUGAAAUGCAUAGAUACCAUCAAGAACACCGAUUGCGAAGGCAGCUUACUGGGCAAACACUGACGCUGAUGUACGGAAAGCGUGGGGAGCGAACAGGAKUAGAUACCCUGGUAGUCCACGCCGUAAACGAUGAUCACUCGAUGCUUGUAGGUUACURUGAGUGCCAAGGAACCGAUAA
Molecule: ribosomal RNA, 499 nt
Filed under: uncultured Flavobacterium sp.
Lineage: Bacteria; Pseudomonadati; Bacteroidota; Flavobacteriia; Flavobacteriales; Flavobacteriaceae
Description: bacterial SSU rRNA
Rfam family: Bacterial small subunit ribosomal RNA
Source: RNAcentral